Molecule: non-coding RNA, 312 nt
Organism: Drosophila melanogaster (fruit fly)
Lineage: Eukaryota; Metazoa; Arthropoda; Insecta; Diptera; Drosophilidae
Source: Ensembl
AGUUUUUAUGCAAAUCAAAUUACAGCCAGCAAAAACCACAAACCAAGGACGGUAGAUAACAAUGAUGUCCGUUGGCCUGGAUUUUUCAUCGAACAGCGCCAAGCCGAAAUGUACACGAGUAUGACAGCGGAAAACUGUUUUUCCGCCUUUAAUGGGAAUUCACUUGAACGAAAUAGUAUUUAGCAUGCGAUGCAUUUAUCGAUGCGUUGCGUAUCGGACUUAACGAAAUUUAUGUGACUUUUGCAAUUUGUCCGGCAUCAAUCUCUUGAUUUCUUAUUUCUGGGAAAACUUUCAAAUUAGCUGCUCGGCAAU